AACGAACGCUGGCGGCAUGCCUAACACAUGCAAGUCGAACGAGACCUUCCUGCUUAGUGGCGCACCGGUUCGUAACCCGUUGGAACCUGCCCUUAUGUUCUGCCCAACACCUCGAAAUAGGUCCUAAUACCGGGUUCUAUUUUCGGACCAAAGCUUUUUCGCGUUUGGUUGGGGCCGCGUUUGAUUGGUUUGUUGGUAGGGUACAACCUUACCACGGAGUGGAUCCAUAGCUGGCUUGAGAGGAUGAUCAGCCACACUGGCCAUGCGACACGGACCAGACUGCUACGGGAGGCAGCAGUGGGGAAUAUAGGAGGAUGGGGGAAAGCCUGGUGCAGCAAUGCCGCGUGAGUGAUGAAGGGGUUAGGGUUGUAAAGCUCUUUGAGCCGGGAUGAUAAUGACAGUACCGAGAGAAGAAGCACCGGCUAACUCCGUG
Molecule: ribosomal RNA, 433 nt
Filed under: uncultured bacterium
Lineage: Bacteria
Description: partial 16S ribosomal RNA
Rfam family: Bacterial small subunit ribosomal RNA
Source: RNAcentral